Mya arenaria is the source of this 2773-nucleotide long non-coding RNA. RefSeq lists it as uncharacterized. Lineage: Eukaryota; Metazoa; Mollusca; Bivalvia; Myida; Myidae. The record is from RefSeq and is a predicted model, not a curated record. The transcript is spliced from 6 exons.
AAUGGAUUAAAAAUGAUGCAUUUUGAUACUAGUGAUAAAAUAAUUUACAUGAAAUUAAAUUUUACUGCAGUUUUAGUGACGACUCAGACGACAGAAUACAUUUGGAUCUGACUGGAAGAAAGACUCCAAUGGCCUGUGAAAGCCACUGGUGGUCUUAACUCCUCUGCUAUUACGAUCAUCUGACCCCUGUCCAGUCUUUCCAAUGGUACCCAGCUCUUCUACAAGACAUUUCCCACCCUCAGUUACCCGCUUCUGAGACCGAUGAUCCUGGAUAUGGCUACACCCUCUUCCCACAGAGGCCAUCCAAAAUAAUGUGGAUUUCACUGCCCAGAUCUCACUGUCCCGGUUCUGGUCCCACAAACUACCCAGGAUACAGGGUUGAUCUGGAACGAAUCAUCAGCCAACAACUCCAGCCUUGUGUAGGUCUUCAACUGAGCAUAAAUCACCAUCACCGAUGCAGCAUCGGCAUAAAAAAAAAACCAAGUAAUAAGCAGCCGAGGUGAUGAACUGUGUGUGGAGAGAAGCAAGUUGUUACUGAGGAUGAAGUUGUCUCAGUGGUACCAGAAGAUGUCCAGCCCCAAUAAAAUAGCAUCCAGGGACUAGAAGUGGAAACCACCCCCUGCAGUAGACAAAGUGGAACAACCUGCUGUUGAAAAUGAGGAGAUAUAUGGAGCCUCUUUGAAAGUUUUAACCCGUCUUUGUCAUUAUUAUGAAAAAUUGAAAAAUGGUUAAAUAUAUUCAAAAGAAUCUUGGUAUGGUGAAAUGGAAUGGAUCUCAUGUACGGGAUAAUAACACUGUUUAAAGCCCAGCCCUCAAUGGAUCCAGUUCAUUGUACUUUUGUUGAGAGUUGAGAAGGCACACGGAUGUAUAUACCUGUAGAAAUCAUUCAACCCUGACCUCAGAAAGGUCAUGGCCAAUAUACACCCUCUGGCAAUGAAGUGCUAUUCAGGCGGAACGCUGCACUGGCCAAGAGCAUGGUGUGUCUCAAGGAUGGAUACAUGAGGAAGGACAUUAGUGUGGAUGAAUGGCAACUAGAUCGGAUACAUGAGGAAGGACAGUAGUGUAGAUGAAUUGCAACUAGAUUGGAUACAGGAGGAUGGACAGUAGUGUGAAUGAAUGGCAACUAGAUUGGAUACAUGAGGAAGGACAGUAGUGUGGAUGAAUGGCAACUAGAUUGGAUACAUGAGGAAGGACAGUAGUGUGAAUGAAUGCAACUAGAUUGGAUACAUGAGGAAGGACAGUAGUGUGGAUGAAUGGCAACUAGAUUGGAUACAGGAGGAAGGACAGUAGUGUGGAUGAAUGGCAACUAGAUUGGAUACAUGAGGAAGGACAGUAGUGUGGAUGAAUGGCAACUAGAUUGGAUACAGGAGGAAGGACAGUAGUGUGGAUGAAUGGCAACUAGAUUGGAUACAUGAGGAAGGACAGUAGUUUGGAUGAAUGGCAACUAGAUUGGAUACAUGAGGAAGGACAGUAGUGUGGAUGAAUGCAACUAGAUUGGAUACAGGAGGAACGACAGUAGUGUGGAUGAAUGGCAACUAGAUUGGAUACAGGAGGAUGGACAGUAGUGUGGAUGAAUGGCAACUAUAUUGGAUACAGGAGGAAGGACAGUAGUGUGGAUGAAUGGCAACUAGAUUGGAUACAGGAGGAAGGACAGUAGUGUGGAUGAAUGGCAACUAGAUUGGAUACAGGAGGAAGGACAGUAGUGUGGAUGAAUGGCAACUAGAUUUGAUACAGGAGGAUGGACAGUAGUGUGGAUGAAUGGCAACUAGAUCGGAUACAUGAGGAAGGACAGUAGUGUGGAUGAAUGGCAACUAGAUUGGAUACAUGAGGAAGGACAGUAGUGUGGAUGAAUGGCAGCAAGGUGGGAACAGUAUUCUGUAUCAGGGAGAAGACAGACAUUGACUACACUGUCAGUCAGCAUCAGCUGAGGUUGAUUUGUUUGUAGACAUUUUCAACACACAGGCACCACCUUAUGAGACAUUAGUUGUUAACUGAAUUGUACAUUUGUGCACUCGUCCAUUCAUUUGUUUCACCAUUCAUUAGUUUAAGUGAUAGUGAAUCACCAAUUCAUUUCAUUUCUUCUCUCAUUAACUCAUUUAAUCUUACUUUCCUUAAUUAGCCAGUCAACAUUUCAUUCAUUGAGGACCUGAACACUAUGUAUCUAUGUAUUAGCCUGAGUUUCAUAAUAGUGAAAAAUAAAACUUUAAGAAGAUUAUAUUUUUAUUACAUGUAUAAAACAAGAGGUGUCACAGAGACAGUCCGCUUGACCAUUCCACCGCUUUUCAGUGUAAGGAUUGAACAUGUUUAGCAAGACAGGGAUCACUGUAAAGUUAUAUUAGAUUUCAAUGCAAAACAUGAUGUACAUGAGAUAUUAACAUAAAUGUGGUUACAUGCAAAUUUUUAACCAGAAUUUCUAAGUCCAAUUAUAAAGGUCCAUUAUUUGCAUUAAAUUAAAACUAGAGUUAUCUAACUUAGUCAAUUAGGUAGGUUGGACGGUUGAGUACUAUUGUAUAAAAUCUUAAUGCAAUACAUCAAGUUGUUACUGAGAUAUUAACCUAUGUGCAAAACCUUAACCAGAAUUUCUUAGUCAAAUAAUAAAGGCCCAUUACAUUAUAUUUAAAAAAUUGUUAUCUAACUUCAUGAAUAUAGAAGGUUAGAUACAUGUAAUAUUUUAGUUUAAUUGUUUUCUAGAAAUGCCUUUUAAUAUAUAUUUUUAUUGUACAAUUUUUGAUGUAAACUAUAUAUUAUUUAAAUCUUAUAGUUUUAUAUGUCA